This 86-nucleotide transfer RNA is filed under the name Croceicoccus pelagius. Its description in RNAcentral is "tRNA-Arg". The record is from RNAcentral. Lineage: Bacteria; Pseudomonadati; Pseudomonadota; Alphaproteobacteria; Sphingomonadales; Erythrobacteraceae.
UGCGCGCUUCAGCCCGAAGGUCGAACAGGCGGGUUUCUACCUCGUCCAGCCGCGCCGGAUCGAAGCUCAGCGCCUCAAGCGCGCGA